UCCGACAUGGCCUCUCUUAACCUUUCAGCCACCGCCCCUUUGUAACGCUUCACAUUAACAUUCAACCCACGUAAUUAAGAUCACUGUUACCAUCCUUUUCCCCAUUUAUUCCACUCUCCUUUGCUCAAUUAUAUCCAUCUCUUCAGAUGUUAUUUUUCUAUAAAUAAGAAUGUCUGUCUCACCUUUUCGCUAUGAAACCCAAAGGUUCAACAAUGGCAACCUUCAAGCUCCUUUUUCUGAUUUGAAAAUCAGCCGUUGUGCUGAGACAGUUAUUCUGCGAUAAUGUGAACAAAGGAAGUGGGUUUAUCGGUGUUGAUUGAGUUUUUGAUGCAGAUUGAGUCAUCUUUGUCAUUAACUACUUUCAGUUAUUGAGCUGUGGGUACAAAGUGUUCAUAUUUAUUAUUGUAGGGUGACCUACUAGAUCUGGAUAUCCGAGGUUCAAAAUUUACACAAGCAAAAAAGUCAGUUAUGAGGUAACUAAAGCUAAGACUCACGUUAUUCGAUAAUCUUUGUUGAUAGGUUUCUUUUUGGUAUGUUCUAUUUCAAGCUUAUGUGGUUAUGUUUCACCUAAGAUGUAAGAAUCAUCUUGGUUGUGAAAUUAAGUGCAUGCUUUGGAUGUACCACCGCGGAGAAAAUGAUUAUGUAGCUUGCUUGGAACAUGUUGGUCUUUUUUUUUUUUUUGAACAUGUUAGUCUAUCUUUUCUUCUUGACUACUGGACUUAGCGAGGAUGGAAACUCUAAUAUUUUCAAUUUUCAUGCACUUGACAGACAAUUAUGAAUAGUUAUAUAAUUUCCUAGAUUAGUUCUUUUCUGUUCUUGAAAUUGAGAAACAAUGCUCCCCCUUAUUAAAAUGUUACUUUCGUAUGUUCUUCUGUUCAGGUACUGCUGAAGUUCUUUCAUAUUCAGAUCUCAGACCACUUGACAUUAAAGCCCACACAGCCGGGUGCUAUUGCUUGCAUUCAUCAUCUUCGCACCCUGAAUUACAAAUUAUUAUUUAAUUCUUCUGGUUGCCUCUUCCCUUUACCACCUUAACAUAUACUUUGCUGUCGAAACAGGAUUCCUUUCUUAGUCAUCAUUUGGCACCUAUAAAUUUAUGUCUCUGCUUGCAUGUCUUAUAUAUAUGCAUUUAUUCACAAAGUUUUAGUCAUUUCCAUGAUGAUCUUAUGUGCUUCUUAAACUGCUUGGAUCUGUAGGGAAAUGUACCAGGCAAUGCAGACAUAAUGGUUUUGUUCUUGCCAUAGUAAAAACAAAUAAGAGAGUAUAGUUCCAAUACAAUUCCUUGUCUCAUAAUGUCUCGCUAACUAGAUCAGAGUAUUAUAUUAAUAUGAUUAUGAGUAUCCAAAAGCCAAUUUUGACCCUUUUUUUUUUUACUUGAAGUGUCAUAUUAUGUAUCUUUUCAGGAUAUACAAGCUGGAAACUCUGUGCACUGCUUCUUCUAUGGCGUUUUCUUGGAUGUUCCAGAAAAAACGUUAGAUUUGAAAUCUCACCUACUUAAAGUGUUAUACUGCAAUGAAGUUUGAUACGUGCUAUCAUGUGACACUAAAUUGGGUCAAGUUCUGCGUAUGUUUAGAUGCACGAGCCACGUCUACGCUAUCACCACCUAGAAUCUUUAAAUGGUUUUAAAGCAUUGUUAUUACUGUUUGAGGACUUUGGGAUCAUGAUUUCGAGAACGUUUGGUGAUGUUUUAAGCUGCGAAAGAAUGACAUAAAGGCGAUCUGAACAAUAACAGAAAGAUGCUCAUAUCUUGGAAUUUGGCUAUAAAAGACGAGUAAAGGUAGAAGAUUUGGCAGAUUCACAUGCUCAUCUUUAGUCUCUUUUAUUUUAACAUUUUUUUGUGUGGCAUCAUUUGCUUUUUGUUAGCUUGAGGUUUAGUUUCCAAUGUCACUCUGAUCACAAUGGAAUAAUAUAUAACAUUUAUGAUUUGAAUAUCUGAAAAAAUUCGCAGUAGAUUAAAGAGAUUCUAGAUUAAACUUAGUGCCUGGUUUUAUAAAAAUCUUUAAAUACAAAAAGAGUAUUCGUCAAGGGACGCCUGAAACAAAUUUCUCUCUUCAAAUAGAAACAUCAGAUUUCUCUAGAGGCAAGAAAAUAAUGUGUUGUGAGAAUUUAGUUGCUCAUGAUCUGUUUCUACUGUAAAAUGCACAUUUAGUAGUCGCAUUGU
This 2158-nucleotide long non-coding RNA is filed under the name Brassica napus (rape). Its description in RNAcentral is "long non-coding RNA (BNAP_LNC005036)". Lineage: Eukaryota; Viridiplantae; Streptophyta; Magnoliopsida; Brassicales; Brassicaceae. The record is from RNAcentral.